GGCCUCGUAGCUCAGUUGGCUAGAGCGAUGCCUGUACUAAAACCUUCUGGCGUGGGUUCGAAUCCCACCGAGGCCG
This 76-nucleotide transfer RNA is filed under the name Schistocephalus solidus. It matches the Rfam family "tRNA". From Rfam's summary of the family: Transfer RNA (tRNA) molecules are approximately 80 nucleotides in length. Their secondary structure includes four short double-helical elements and three loops (D, anti-codon, and T loops). The record is from Rfam by way of RNAcentral. Lineage: Eukaryota; Metazoa; Platyhelminthes; Cestoda; Diphyllobothriidea; Diphyllobothriidae.